GAGCAGAUUCCACCACCUAACGUAGGCUGGAUACACGGAAACGACCCCGCCGACGACUACAACCACCAGGAGCGCCGCGCUCGCUCGCAAAGCACUCUGGGACUUGAAGUUUCUCCUGCGCUGCCAUCUGAGGAGGGGAGCCCACAGCGGCCCUCUCCCCCGGGACACCAUGAGAAUACCGUCUCCAAAAAUAGAGGUCUCCUCCUCUCCUUCCAGCUCUUCCGCUCUUCCAGGUAUCUGUCGCUUCCACUCGCAUUAUUGGAUGGAGGGCACGCUCGCAGAUCCUCCACCUGCAGACAUGAAAUGAUCCUGCACCCUGCUGAGGAGCGCUGUUGAUGUUUUGUUUUUUUUUGUUUUUUUUUUGUGAAGUAUUGCAGGGAGAUUGCAUAGCAGACCUGUCAAGUCAAGUCAAGGUUAAGUGUGUGAGUGUGUUUGUGUGUCUCCAUUGAUUAGAUAUUGCUAUUAUUAGCAACAAGCCCAUGCAACAUAAACGGCAGCUUUAAAGGGAUAUCAUGGCUGUAUCAUGCAUGUGUGGAGCUGAAUCGAAGUUGACUCUGUGUGUGUGUGUGUGUGUGUGUGUGUGUGUGUGUGUGUGUGUGUGUGUGUGUGUGUGUGUGUGUGUGUGCUGUUGACUGUUUCCAGCUUUAAUUAGCAGGCUUCUGUUUCUGUCUGGCUCACCAGCUCACCUUUCCCCUCUGAGGACAUGAUGGCAGAUAUUAACACGUUAGACAAAACCCUGCGAGUCAAAUCAAGACCAAACGUGAUGAAACAGUAUCUCGAGUGUUGUGAUUUGGAUCAUGAAGCGUUUUAAAGAGAGUCUGCGGGAUCAGGACAACAACACGAGUCUGUGUAUUCGGCCGGCUGCCGGCUGGUUUCCUGUUUUUCUUUCAUGUUCGGAUGAAAGCUAAUUCCCCUUCAUCACCGAAACUCAUUCACAUGUUUGAUUUUUGAAUAUUUAUUUUUUUUCAAAGUGAAUCUUUGGACACAUCUAUCCCAGGAGAAAUGUCACCCUCACUGAGGUGUCUAAAUAUAUUUCCAAGACUUUGCGCAGGGAGCCCGUCUUCCUAUCUUCAGCCUAAUAAAUUCAAGUCCCAAAAGUCCAAAAUUCACCGUUUCCUGGGGAGAGAAUGAGUCACCUUUCGAUUGCAUGCGUAUAAUUAAAUCUCUUGGUAUAUGUGAUGAUGAAGUGCUGUAUCGUCAUGUUGACAGUCUGGGCCUCCCCGAGGUGUUUCUCUCAUCUAUUCUUCACCUCGUCCACAGCCGACAUGUGAACUCGUGAGCCUGCAAGAUUUAUUGGGCCUCGUACCUCGAGGACGGUGCGCUUGUUCGUAUUUCCAUCCUGUUCUUCCUUUUGAUUACACAUGCAGGUGAUUUAUCUACUGCUGCUAAAGUCCUUGUCAGCUGUUUUUUUUUUUUUGGAGUCCCAGCAGGAAGUCGAUAUUUGUAAAGACUGAGGCCAGACUAUAUCUGUCGAUCCAUCCGUCGAUUCAUCCAUCUACCCAACAUUUAGAGUAUCUCAGAGACACAAGCGGCACCGUGCUCGUGACUGAGGCCACAAAGUGUGAGGAAAGUGCCACGGAAAUAACUUCUACGAUGAGCAACGAUCCAAAGCAAGCAUCUGCCAUCCAGCACUUAACCAUAACACUAAAUGUUUGAAUGUAAUUACGUCCCGUCGGUGUGAUAAUAAGUAAAUCCUCUCAUUAAUUGGGUCUUAGGAUUGUGUAGCUCUUGCUGUCACAGCUAAUUGACCCCAAGAAUGAGGUGGAGUACAUCUGCCUUCAUUUGUGCACAACUCUAAUUAACACCACCACCAGAAAAGGUACACAUUUGUGUGUGUGUAUACAUCUGAUGUGUGUGUGUGUGUGAGAGAGGGAGAGUGUGUGUGACAUGGGAUCUCUUGACCCCAAUCAACCGUACCAGACCAUAUGGAGAAUUACAAUUUAAGUCUUUUUACAUUCCAUCCUAUAUGAUUACGCCGCUCGUGUCCUAUAAUUAUACGGUACUCAAACUCGCCUGUGUUUUACACACGCUGAUUUAGUAACAUAUUAACUGUUAUAUCCUUUACAGCCGCCGUCCUCAAUCUUGUUUCUCCGACACGUAACCCACAAUCCUUCACUCUCACGCCUGUUCGACUACCACUAACUGUGAAAAAGCUGGUGUGUAUCAGCCGUGUUACUUUAAGCUCGACAUUUCAGCUCGCUUGUUUUUUCGACGAGUCUCAAAUGCAUCGUUUUGUGUAAAAGUGCGACAGCUGAUUCGGGUCGAUGGCAAACUGAGUUUUUUUUUUUUUUUUGGCUACAGGGACACAAGCCAUCUGCAUUUUAUUACCUUUCAAUUUAAUAUGGCAGCUUGUUUGCACACAGAGCAGCAUUACAAUUCAUUUAGAGUUGUGUUUCUCUCCGCCUGACGGAUGUACAGUGAGUCCCAUUCAUGAUUUCUCAGUGAUGUCCAGCUCCUCAGGGCGAAUCUGCCUCUUAAGAUGCUAAAUGCUCCAUUAUGUUCACCAGCUGGUUGCUAACUUUUCCCUUAUCUGCCACAGGGUUGUUCGGCUGCCUGCUGAAAAUAAUGCUGAUAGGAGCAAAAACAUUAAAUUUGCACUGAACUAGCCGCAUGUCUAAUUCAUACUCCAAACAAACAGAGUAACUGGUAACUGCUGCAGCUGCCAUUUUGCUAUUUAGCUCAGAGAGUUGUGCACUUAAGGAGAAGCUAAGGCUAGCUGGUUAGCAUCUCUGCAACACAGUAGACUUUUUUUUUUUAAUAACGUCAACACUGUUAUUUCUUCACAUCUCCUUCUUCUUCUACAUACCACUUUAAUAAAACAGCCUCUAAAAACA
Molecule: long non-coding RNA, 2834 nt
Organism: Acanthopagrus latus (yellowfin seabream)
Lineage: Eukaryota; Metazoa; Chordata; Actinopteri; Spariformes; Sparidae
Exons: 2
Source: RefSeq, a predicted model, not a curated record